Long non-coding RNA from Triticum dicoccoides, 372 nucleotides. RefSeq lists it as uncharacterized. The record is from RefSeq and is a predicted model, not a curated record. NCBI's taxonomy places the organism in Eukaryota, Viridiplantae, Streptophyta, Magnoliopsida, Poales, Poaceae. The transcript is spliced from 3 exons.
UCCUCGCUGGUAUACAUGCAUCUCAUUCAGUCUGUUCGUUGUACAACUUGUAGUCUCCUCAAUCCAGAAGUAGGAAUUCACAGAAAAAAAUGCUUAUCUGAAUUCAGGUGUACAGCCAUAUAUUGUUGUGGAUUUUAGGUUGGAUGCUCACAUAAGAGCUUUAGUUGCAGAUGCAUCUUUGCGUGCUUGUUCUGCUUGAGCCCGCCGCCUCGCCAUGAAGCCCUCUGCUGCAGCCUCUCACUUCACUGUCGACGACACUCUGCUUCAACCCGUCUCUGUCCAGUACCGGACAAACCUGUUGUAAAGACACUUGAGAUGGAGGCCUGAUUGUUGCAGUUUCAAUAACUCAGGGAGCACCUCCUUGCUGGCAAC